CCUACGGGAGGCUGCAGUGGGGAAUAUUGGACAAUGGGCGAAAGCCUGAUACAGCCAUGCCGCGUGUGUGAAGAAGGCCUUCGGGUUGUAAAGCACUUUCAGUGGGGAAGAAAGCCUUGGGGCUAAUACCCUCGAGGAAGGACAUCACCCACAGAAGAAGCACCGGCUAACUCCGUGCCAGCAGCCGCGGUAAUACGGAGGGUGCGGGCGUUAAUCGGAAUUACUGGGCGUAAAGCGCGCGUAGGCGGUCUGAUAAGCCGGUUGUGAAAGCCCCGGGCUCAACCUGGGAACGGCAUCCGGAACUGUCAGGCUAGAGUGCAGGAGAGGAAGGUAGAAUUCCCGGUGUAGCGGUGAAAUGCGUAGAGAUCGGGAGGAAUACCAGUGGCCAAGGCGGCCUUCUGGACUGACACUGACGCUGAGGUGCGAAAGCGUGGGUAGCAAACAGGAUUAGAUACCCUUGUAGUC
Molecule: ribosomal RNA, 465 nt
Filed under: Vreelandella stevensii
Lineage: Bacteria; Pseudomonadati; Pseudomonadota; Gammaproteobacteria; Oceanospirillales; Halomonadaceae
Description: partial 16S ribosomal RNA
Rfam family: Bacterial small subunit ribosomal RNA
Source: RNAcentral